AACGAACGCUGGCGGCGUGCCUAACACAUGCAAGUCGAGCGCGAAUGGGAGCAAUCCCUAGUAGAGCGGCGCACGGGUGCGUAACACGUGGGUAAUCUGCCUGGAAGCCCGGGACAACCUUCCGAAAGGAUGGCUAAUACCGGAUAAGCCUACGGGAUCCUCGGAUCCUGAAGGAAAAGGUGGCCUCUGUACACAAGCUAUCACUUCCAGAUGAGCCCGCGGCCCAUCAGCUAGUUGGCGGGGUAACGGCCCACCAAGGCAACGACGGGUAGCUGGUCUGAGAGGACGAUCAGCCACACUGGAACUGAGACACGGUCCAGACUCCUACGGGAGGCAGCAGUGGGGAAUUUUGCACAAUGGGCGAAAGCCUGAUGCAGCAACGCCGCGUGUGUGAUGAAGGUCUUCGGAUUGUAAAGCACUUUCGACCGGGACGAAACACCCUUGGCUAACAUCCAAGGGCCUGACGGUACCGGGAGAAGAAGCACCGGCUAACUCUGUGC
RNAcentral lists this ribosomal RNA (500 nucleotides) under uncultured bacterium. Its description in RNAcentral is "bacterial SSU rRNA". It matches the Rfam family "Bacterial small subunit ribosomal RNA", at positions 29 to 508 of the family's 1533-position model. The record is from RNAcentral.